Molecule: transfer-messenger RNA, 372 nt
Filed under: Tautonia sociabilis
Lineage: Bacteria; Pseudomonadati; Planctomycetota; Planctomycetia; Isosphaerales; Isosphaeraceae
Description: Standard tmRNA
Rfam family: transfer-messenger RNA
About the family: Bacterial tmRNA, also known as 10Sa RNA or SsrA, is named for its dual tRNA and mRNA-like properties.
Source: Rfam by way of RNAcentral
GGGGGCGAUCCAGGUUCGACCGGAUUGCUGAGGUGUCUGGCUGCAUGCCGAGGUUGGUCGGCUGGCCUCGUAAAAAGCCGAUCGAAACCAUAACUGCCAACAACAACGUUGGUUCCUACAGCCUCGCCGCCUGACCGCGGUUGAGCUGCGUCGCGCCGGGGCUUCGCCCGUGGGCCUCGGCCGGCGACGACACAGCGGGCUCGUCCGAUCCAAACCGCCCGUUGCGGAUCGGAUUAAACUCAUGAUGGGCUAAGCCGAAGGAAACCCUGUCGUUCGGGGAUCCCAGGCCGACAACAAAAAGAACGACUACGCAUGUAGACGCCUUCACCGACGGAUCUCGGGACGCGGGUGCAAUUCCCGCCGCCUCCACUA